Molecule: ribosomal RNA, 1244 nt
Filed under: Lime symptomless phytoplasma
Lineage: Bacteria; Bacillati; Mycoplasmatota; Mollicutes; Acholeplasmatales; Acholeplasmataceae
Description: bacterial SSU rRNA
Rfam family: Bacterial small subunit ribosomal RNA
Source: RNAcentral
GCUAAGACUGGAUAGGAAGAAAUAAGGCAUCUUUUUUCUUUUAAAAGACCUAGUGAUAGGUAUACUUUAGAAGGGGCUUGCGCCAUAUUAGUUAGUUGGUAGGGUAAUGGCCUACCAAGACAAUGAUGUGUAGCUGGACUGAGAGGUUGAACAGCCACAUUGGGACUGAGACACGGCCCAAACUCCUACGGGAGGCAGCAGUAGGGAAUUUUCGGCAAUGGAGGAAACUCUGACCGAGCAACGCCGCGUGAACGACGAAGUACUUUGGUAUGUAAAGUUCUUUUAUCAAGGAAGAAAAGCAAGUGGUGAACCAUUUGUUUGCCGGUACUUGAUGAAUAAGCCCCGGGCUAAUUAUGUGCCAGCAGCCGCGGUAAGACAUAAGGGGCAAGUGUUAUCCGGAAUUAUUGGGCGUAAAGGGCGCGUAGGCGGUCUAGUAAGUCAGUGGUGUAAUGGCAACGCUCAACGUUGUCCGGCUAUUGAAACUGCUAAACUUGAGUUAGAUAGAGGCGAGUGGAAUUCCAUGUGUAGCGGUAAAAUGCGUAAAUAUAUGGAGGAACACCAGAGGCGUAGGCGGCUCGCUGGGUCUUAACUGACGCUGAGGCACGAAAGCGUGGGGAGCAAACAGGAUUAGAUACCCUGGUAGUCCACGCCGUAAACGAUGAGUACUAAGUGUCGGGUUAAACCGGUACUGAAGUUAACACAUUAAGUACUCCGCCUGAGUAGUACGUACGCAAGUAUGAAACUUAAAGGAAUUGACGGGACUCCGCACAAGCGGUGGAUCAUGUUGUUUAAUUCGAAGAUACCCGAAAAACCUUACCAGGUCUUGACAUGUUUUUGCGAAACGGUAGUAAUAUCCGUGGGAGGUUAUCAGAAACACAGGUGGUGCAUGGGUUGUCGUCAGCUCGUGUCAUGAGAUGUUAGGUUAAGUCCUAAAACGAGCGAAACCCUUAUCGUUAGUUGCCAGCACGUUAUGGUGGGGACUUUAACGAGACUGCCAGUGAUAAAUUGGAGGAAGGUGAGGAUCACGUCAAAUCAGCAUGCCCCUUAUGACCUGGGCUACAAACGUGAUACAAUGGCUGUUACAAAGGGUAGCUGAAACGCAAGUUCUUGGCCAAUCCCCAAAAACAGUCUCAGUCCGGAUUGAAGUCUGCAACUCGACUUCAUGAAGUUGGAAUCGCUAGUAAUCGCGAAUCAGCAUGUCGCGGUGAAUACGUUCACGGGGUUUGUACACACCGCCCGUCAAC